This 342-nucleotide long non-coding RNA is filed under the name Junco hyemalis (dark-eyed junco). Its description in RNAcentral is "lncRNA (ENSJHYG00000016806.1)". Lineage: Eukaryota; Metazoa; Chordata; Aves; Passeriformes; Passerellidae. The record is from RNAcentral.
GCAAAUAGCGUGCUGCUCCAAGGGCAAAGCCUGUCCCUCUUUUGGCUGGACACCUUUCUGUGCCAAGAGGCUCUGCCAGGCAGCAGGAGCAGUGCUGGGCUGCUUCCUGGCAGGCCCCUCCAGCAGGAGAACGCUUGCUGCGCUGGCAUCGAGGUUUUCCACAGCAAGAUGACCAUUUUGCUGUCAAGUUCAGCAAAGAAGCAGUGUCCUGGGGAGCUGCACGGCAUUGCCCAUUCAUGCUGCACUUGAUGGAUAGCAAAGAGAACAGGAGUGCACCAUCCAAAAGGGCAGCAGGGCUGCCUUCCCAUUAAUAUUCCCAUGGAGUGUUUGUAGGAAGGUUUG